CCGCCGUCGCCGGUGGUUACACGGCGGUUUCACCGCCGUUGACCGAGAGAUUUGGAUAGAUCGUGAAAAAUGGGGUCGAAAGAGGUUAAUUUCGUCACGAAUCGCCGGAAAACUGCCGCUGCCACCGCUGGUCUGCCGCCGCCGCCGGCCUCUGCCGCCGCCGCCGGUCUGGCAGUCCCUUCGCUCACGAGGUAUCGGGGUUCAAGACGUGGCUAUUGCGCAAGAUCCGGAGGGCAUGGAGAGUACUUUAUUUUUAAUUAAUAUUUACUUAACGUUGAACUCGUGUACGGACUUUUAUUAGAGCAAA
Non-coding RNA from Salvia hispanica, 307 nucleotides. Lineage: Eukaryota; Viridiplantae; Streptophyta; Magnoliopsida; Lamiales; Lamiaceae. The record is from RefSeq and is a predicted model, not a curated record.